Molecule: ribosomal RNA, 756 nt
Filed under: uncultured bacterium
Lineage: Bacteria
Description: bacterial SSU rRNA
Rfam family: Bacterial small subunit ribosomal RNA
Source: RNAcentral
UGUGUAGCGGUGAAAUGCGUAGAUAUAUGGAGGAACACCAGUGGCGAAAGCGGCUCUCUGGUCUGUCACUGACGCUGAGGCUCGAAAGCGUGGGUAGCGAACAGGAUUAGAUACCCUGGUAGUCCACGCCGUAAACGAUGAGUGCUAGGUGUUAGGCCCUUUCCGGGGCUUAGUGCCGGAGCUAACGCAAUAAGCACUCCGCCUGGGGAGUACGACCGCAAGGUUGAAACUCAAAGGAAUUGGCGGGGGCCCGCACAAGCGGUGGAGCAUGUGGUUUAAUUCGAAGCAACGCGAAGAACCUUACCAGGUCUUGACAUCCCGAUGCUAUUCUUAGAGAUAGGAAGUUACUUCGGUACAUCGGAGAUAGGUGGUGCAUGGUUGUCGUCAGCUCGUGUCGUGAGAUGUUGGGUUAAGUCCCGCAACGAGCGCAACCCUUAUUGUUAGUUGCCAUCAUUAAGUUGGGCACUCUAGCGAGACUGCCGGUAAUAAACCGGAGGAAGGUGGGGAUGACGUCAAAUCAUCAUGCCCCUUAUGACCUGGGCUACACACGUGCUACAAUGGUCGGUACAACGAGUUGCGAGCCGGUGACGGCAAGCUAAUCUCUGAAAGCCGAUCUCAGUUCGGAUUGGAGGCUGCAACUCGCCUCCAUGAAGUCGGAAUCGCUAGUAAUCGCGGAUCAGCACGCCGCGGUGAAUACGUUCCCGGGCCUUGUACACACCGCCCGUCACACCACGAGAGUUUGUAACACCCGAAGUC